RNAcentral lists this ribosomal RNA (589 nucleotides) under Rhodotorula sp. RNAcentral's name for it is "eukaryotic LSU rRNA". The stretch from base 177 to 330 matches the Rfam family "5.8S ribosomal RNA". The record is from RNAcentral. Lineage: Eukaryota; Fungi; Basidiomycota; Microbotryomycetes; Sporidiobolales; Sporidiobolaceae.
UGCGGAAGGAUCAUUAGUGAAUCUAGGACGUCCAACUUAACUUGGAGUCCGAACUCUCACUUUCUAACCCUGUGCAUCUGUUUUAAAAUUGGCUAGUAGCUCUUCGGAGCGAACCACCAUUUUUCACUUAUACAAACACAAAGUCUAUGAAUGUAAACAAAUUUAUAACAAAACAAAACUUUCAACAACGGAUCUCUUGGCUCUCGCAUCGAUGAAGAACGCAGCGAAAUGCGAUACGUAAUGUGAAUUGCAGAAUUCAGUGAAUCAUCGAAUCUUUGAACGCACCUUGCGCUCCUUGGUAUUCCGAGGAGCAUGCCUGUUUGAGUGUCAUGAAAUCUUCAACCCACCUCUUUCUUAGUGAAUCUGGUGGUGCUUGGUUUCUGAGCGCUGCUCUGCUUCGGCUUAGCUCGUUCGUAAUGCAUUAGCAUCCGCAACCGAAACUUCGGAUUGACUUGGCGUAAUAGACUAUUCGCUGAGGAUUCCAGACUUGUUCUGGAGCCGAGUUGGGUUAAAGGAAGCUUCUAAUCCUAAAGUCUAUUUUUUGAUUAGAUCUCAAAUCAGGUAGGACUACCCGCUGAACUUAAGCAUA